Long non-coding RNA from Ornithodoros turicata, 1607 nucleotides. RefSeq lists it as uncharacterized. The record is from RefSeq and is a predicted model, not a curated record. The transcript has 6 exons. Lineage: Eukaryota; Metazoa; Arthropoda; Arachnida; Ixodida; Argasidae.
UGGAAGCCUGCGAAAUUAUUUCCUCGUAGACGCAUGAGACGCUCCGUGAAGUUUUAAGUGUUUGGAAAUGCAUCUAGUGUUUGGUCUUUGGCCGACUGUACCCCCGCAAAGCAAAGGUGAUAUACGGGUGCACUUUGUUGCUGCAGAAAUUUUCUUCUCGUCGAGCUCUUUUCGAACAUCUGCUAUCACAUGAAGAUUUUGCAAGUGGUGUUCCUUGUACCAUAGAGGGACGUAAUGCUGCUUCCAAGAACUAUAGAACCAGUUCUUCCAUGAGUCAUCCUGACGAAACACCACCACAUUCAACACAAAAAGUAUUGUCUUGAAAGUUUUGUUCUGUGGCUUCUUGCAGCCAGCCGUGUGGACAGUGAAGAAGCAGAUAUUGCACGCUGAAAGCAUCACCUCAUCACAGAUGCAUCGUGCACUGUGAGUUGACACUCCCUCCUUGUGUGCUUCGACAAUCACUAUUCUUGGGACUCAACAUACAACAGGACACUACCUUGUGGUCUCCAGAGACGAGUACAACCUGCGCUAUGGGAAACCGGUACACAUCUUUGUGGAAACUGGCCCUGAGGUGAUGCUAAUUUUUCUUUUUCGCAUAACACCAUCAAGCUUUCUACCAGACCUCAGGCUAUACCAUCUUGAAUCUCAGAGACAAGUGUAUAUUGUUGUGUGCGACCCUCAGAGUUAAUGGACAGUCAUCCAUAUUCAGCUUAUGAAGUAAUAAACUCUGUUGUUGUCUCCCUCAGAAUAUCGCUGCUCAGCCAUAAUUAUGGAGGUAUAUAUUGUCUGUUUAACCAAAUUUUUGCAAAAUAUAUACGCUACUUCCGGUUUUGCUUAAUAACUUCGUUUUCUGACACAGAAAGUUCCAUAUGAGAGGUACAUAUCUUUCCCUGUGCGUGCUACAGUUGUUGCUAUAAAUGUGUGGUUUUCAGAGCUUGCUCAAUGCUGCUUCUUUUUCUCUUUCUUUCUUGUUUACUAGACGUUUCUGAAGAUCAGGAGUAGAGAUCACAAAACGAAAAACUUUGUGUCAGUAACAUGUCUUGAGGAGCUAAUCAGAGUUGCUGUGGGUCAUGGAAUUUGUCAGGAGGGCAACAUACAGGUGUAUUUAAUGGAUGAGUUAUCACAUCGCUCUAUGGUUGCUGGUGCUGAGAAAUGCCUUGAUGACAUUUUCGUUGUUAAAAAUGAACUAUGGAAACAAGAUCAGUCAACAUGUGUGAGUGCACCUUCACCAAUCCCACAAAUGCCUCUGCUCUCACGAAUUUAUUACCCUUGGGAGAGCCUCAGCAAGACAGUACUUGAUGCAUUGGAAGCAGACAAUGUUCUGCUUCCCUCUCAAUGACAGGAAGUGGCACACAUGGCAGCGUCAUGACCCUGCAUAUCCAUUGAAGGCACCUGGUUGGUAUAAUUGAGAACGAAGGGAGCCAGCAGGCAUAAAAAAAUCAAGAGGGCUACAUACAUAAAUGCGUGAGGCAAUGAGGGCCGCAGAUGAAUACAGCAAGAAGUGGGAACAUCUCGUGUGAUACAUAGCAGUCAAAUGUUCCGCCACCAAAGUCAUGCACAAGUUAUUUGUAGUCUUUUCAGUAAUUUCCAAAAUAAAGGGUUAUUAU